RNAcentral lists this transfer RNA (64 nucleotides) under Loxodonta africana (African savanna elephant). It matches the Rfam family "tRNA". From Rfam's summary of the family: Transfer RNA (tRNA) molecules are approximately 80 nucleotides in length. Lineage: Eukaryota; Metazoa; Chordata; Mammalia; Proboscidea; Elephantidae. The record is from Rfam by way of RNAcentral.
GCCUAGUAGGUAGCAUGUCAGUCUCAUAAUCUGAAGGUCGUGAGUUCGAUCCUCACACAGGGCA